GUGGCCUACAGUACCCUGUCCUGUAUACACACAACAGUGCAGUGAAAGUUUAUUAUCAAUAGAGAGAGAUAUAUAAAUAUAAAAGUGAAAUUUAUUCUUAUUAAUCAAUAUGCAUGUUAUUAAACGAUAUACAUAUUUUGUAGAAGUUAUUUUAGCAUAAAAAAACUGCUAACAUUACGCUCUGUUUAUAAAGUGAAAAAAAUCAUCAGCAGAAGUUAAAGAAGUAAACUUCUGUAAAGUGUACAACUGUUGCAAAGUGGUUUGGAGCAGUUCCCAAAGUGUACACUGCGGAAAAGUGAUUUUGCGGAUUUUCUGAUUUCCUCGUUGAGGAAGUGUGUUGACCUCUGUAUUCGCCAGCUGGAACUGUAAUCAAGGUUGAUAUGUGAACGCUAUGGUAGACACAAAGAAAGGAUUGAGAGAGUGGAAGAAGAAUGGAUUUAUUAAGAACGGAUAAAAAUCAGCAAUGAUGGAUUGGGGUGAGGAAGAAAUAGGUGACGGGACAAAGAAAAUCGAGAAAAUGCGAGGCUCACAGGUUAAA
Eurytemora carolleeae is the source of this 538-nucleotide long non-coding RNA. RefSeq lists it as uncharacterized. The record is from RefSeq and is a predicted model, not a curated record. The transcript has 3 exons. NCBI's taxonomy places the organism in Eukaryota, Metazoa, Arthropoda, Copepoda, Calanoida, Temoridae.